CGAAGGAACAAGAAAACUGAUGAAACAAGUUCAAAAGAAAGGUCUACUCCCCAAGGCAAAAACAAACAACAACAACAAAAACCAGAAGUUUCUGAAGGACAGCAGAAAUGGGAAGUUCUUUCCAUGAUGCAAGGCAAUCAAUGGAAAGUGACCUUCUUUUGUGAGCUACACCUAGGUAGCCCCAGUCAUGUGAAAUCACUGAUGGUAGCAACGGAUAAAGAUGCUGGAAGGGGAAACUGAGGCUUGAAAAUAUAUAUACUUUCAGGGUGGACUUUGGACAUGCUGUUAUUAAAAUGUAAGUCUCUUGACAUUGGAGUAGGAAGAGUGGGUAAGUAGGAUUGUUAGGCUUUUAAAAUAUUCCUCAUUAAGAGGAUUUUUUAAAAACCCAAGUUUUGGUGUUAAAAUUUAAGACACUCAGGAAGGCGGCUUAUUUCAGUUGGAAAGAUAUUAAAUAGUAAGCUGAUUUUCAGGGCCCAAGUAGACAGUAUUUUUUGGAAUCCUGAGGUCUGUUAUUUCUAACAUGCACAUAUAGCACUGACAAAUUCAGUCCAGAUUGAAAAUAAGUCACUGAUGUUUUUGGUAGUUAUUUAUUUCUUAUUGCAAUUCACAUUGAAAUUUUCCUAAAGGUUUUUUUAUGUCUUUAUUUGUUUUGGUAUAUUGGUUCUUAGCUGAUUAAUUAUACUUUUUCCUAGAAUUAAAAUAAGAUUAUGUUUAUCUUAGAAAGGCAAAGAAUGAGUAAAUAUUUAACCCAGAACACAUGAUUUGUUUAUUUUAAAAGUCUAUUGAUCUUUAUCAUUAUUCUUUUUAACAACAUAU
Molecule: long non-coding RNA, 816 nt
Filed under: Callithrix jacchus (white-tufted-ear marmoset)
Lineage: Eukaryota; Metazoa; Chordata; Mammalia; Primates; Cebidae
Description: lncRNA (ENSCJAG00000084734.1)
Source: RNAcentral